UAGGGAAUCUUCGGCAAUGGGGGGAACCCUGACCGAGCAACGCCGCGUGUGUGAAGAAGGUUUUCGGAUCGUAAAGCUCUGUUGUUAAGGAAGAACGAGUGUGAGAAUGGAAAGUUCAUACUGUGACGGUACUUAACCAGAAAGGGACGGCUAACUACGUGCCAGCAGCCGCGGUAAUACGUAGGUCCCGAGCGUUGUCCGGAUUUAUUGGGCGUAAAGCGAGCGCAGGCGGUUAGAUAAGUCUGAAGUUAAAGGCAGUGGCUCAACCAUUGUAGGCUUUGGAAACUGUUUAACUUGAGUGCAGAAGGGGAGAGUGAAAUUCAAUGUGUAGCGGUGAAAUGCGUAGAUAUAUGGAGGAACACCGGUGGCGAAGGCGGCUCUCUGGUCUGUAACUGACGCUGAGGCUCGAAAGCGUGGGGAGCGAACAGG
This 429-nucleotide ribosomal RNA is filed under the name Bacteroidota bacterium. RNAcentral describes it as "Bacteroidetes bacterium partial 16S ribosomal RNA". It matches the Rfam family "Bacterial small subunit ribosomal RNA", at positions 355 to 776 of the family's 1533-position model. Lineage: Bacteria; Pseudomonadati; Bacteroidota. The record is from RNAcentral.